Molecule: long non-coding RNA, 1422 nt
Organism: Manihot esculenta (cassava)
Lineage: Eukaryota; Viridiplantae; Streptophyta; Magnoliopsida; Malpighiales; Euphorbiaceae
Exons: 2
Source: RefSeq, a predicted model, not a curated record
AAUGCAGUACUUUGUGAUGAUGGGCUUCAACUUCAACAGAACUCAAGCCCAACAUCCAGCUCCAUACAAAACCCUAGUUGCAGACCUAUAAAUUCACAAUCACCAACCCCUUCUCACCUUCGGCCGCGCGAGUCUCCUCUUCCUCGCUGUUUUGGGUCUCCUUGCUUCGGUUAAAGUUAACCUUUUGCCCUUUUAUUUUACUUACAAUGCUGAAUUUGGAAUGCUAGUGCUGAAAUGUGAGAGAAGAUCACGGUGAUGACUCAGGAAAUUCAAGCUCAACAGACCGGAAUGCAGGCCUCUCUUUUUCUAGAGAGCUUUGCGUGUCGAUCUUCCCGCUGACCUGAGUGAUCUUUUUCUCUCACAAUAUUUGGUUCAUCAGCAAAAUAUUCUAUCUCGUAUUUUUUUUAAAUUUUUAGCUUUUGAUUUGAAUUGAUUUCUUGUUCUUAAAUAUGAGAAUUCGGGUAAUUGAGGUUGCAAUGAGGAUUCACAGCUCCCUCUUCUGAGUUAAAGUUGAGGAAAUCAGCUGGCAGAAUCGAACCUAUGACUUUUUAGCCACCACUGAAUCACAAUGAUGACUUGCAAAAUUCAAGCUCAACAGACUGGAUUACAAGCUUUUUCUUGGAGAAGUUUGUAUGUCGACAAUGACGCUAUACUGAGUGAUCUCUUAAUCAUGAUUUAGUGCUAGGGCCAUCUAAGCAUAUUUGAAUUUACUCGUGAUGUUUGCAAAAUUUGUACGAUCACUUGAGAUUGUACAAGAACGAUAGAGUCAUAGCACUCUUUGACACAAUUUAUUUUUCUUGUAUGCCAAAAAUAUUUCUAUUUCCUAUUCUUUAUCAACUGCAUAUAUCAAUGUGCUACAAAAGCUAUUGGUGAGGUUUACCUUGUCAUUUUGUGAACUAAUUUGUUUGUUAAUUUUGAAGGACUUGAGGCAGAAUUUUUUUUAAAAAAAAAUAAAUUGUUAAAUGCAGGUUGAACUUACUUGGUAUCUGCCGUCAUGAUAACCUGGAUGCAAUCUCACAUGUAUAUUUCAGAAGAUAAGUUGGAAUGGGUGCUCAAUCACUGAUUGAUUUUUUAUUUUCUAAUGACCUUUUCAAGCGAGAGUUUUACUCGGAUUCUUUUUCUAUAAUGUAAAAUAGAUCAUAAAGGAAAUUAUUGUUUCUAUGCACCACACCAGAUCCUAUUAUACUUGUAUCCUAAUUGUUGGUUGUAUAUAUUGAAUCCUGUUGUUCGCACGUACUUGUGAAGAAACUCUACUUGGUUUAGAGCACUGACUACGUGUCUACAUCUGAAGGGUUACCUGCCUGUGUAAUUGGGCAUUUAACUACAACCGUCAUAGCAAGGUGAAAGCGGCAUGUCAUGUAGAAAUGCAAGGUCGAGACUUGUGAUUUUGAUUGAAAUGUGGUAUAUUGGAUUUUCUGUUUA